RNAcentral lists this ribosomal RNA (451 nucleotides) under uncultured bacterium. RNAcentral's name for it is "partial 16S ribosomal RNA". It matches the Rfam family "Bacterial small subunit ribosomal RNA", at positions 354 to 796 of the family's 1533-position model. The record is from RNAcentral.
GUGGGGAAUAUUGGACAAUGGGGGGAACCCUGAUCCAGCCAUGCCGCGUGUGUGAAGAAGGCCUUUUGGUUAUAAAGCACUUUAAGCGAGGAGGAGGCUACCGAGAUUAAUACUCUUGGAUAGUGGACGUUACUCGCAGAAUAAGCACCGGCUAACUCUGUGCCAGCAGCCGCGGUAAUACAGAGGGUGCAAGCGUUAAUCGGAUUUACUGGGCGUAAAGCGCGCGUAGGUGGCCAAUUAAGUCAAAUGUGAAAUCCCCGAGCUUAACUUGGGAAGUGCAUUCGAUACUGGUUGGCUAGAGUAUGGGAGAGGAUGGUAGAAUUCCAGGUGUAGCGGUGAAAUGCGUAGAGAUCUGGAGGAAUACCGAUGGCGAAGGCAGCCAUCUGGCCUAAUACUGACACUGAGGUGCGAAAGCAUGGGGAGCAAACAGGAUUAGAAACCCUUGUAGUCC